CAAGGCUUGACAUCCCUUGACAGCCAUGGAAACAUGGUUUCCCUUCGGGGCAAGGAGACAGGUGGUGCAUGGUUGUCGUCAGCUCGUGUCGUGAGAUGUUGGGUUAAGUCCCGCAACGAGCGCAACCCUUAUCAUUAGUUGCCAGCACGUUAAGGUGGGAACUCUAAUGAGACUGCCGGGGAUAACUCGGAGGAAGGUGGGGACGACGUCAAAUCAUCAUGCCCCUUAUGUCUUGGGCUACACACGUGCUACAAUGGCCGGUACAGAGGGCUGCAAUACCGCAAGGUGGAGCGAAUCCCAUAAAGCCGGUCUCAGUUCGGAUCGUGGGCUGCAACCCGCCCACGUGAAGCCGGAGUUGCUAGUAAUCGCGAAUCAGCAUGUCGCGGUGAAUGCGUUCCC
RNAcentral lists this ribosomal RNA (399 nucleotides) under uncultured bacterium. Its description in RNAcentral is "bacterial SSU rRNA". It matches the Rfam family "Bacterial small subunit ribosomal RNA", at positions 975 to 1375 of the family's 1533-position model. The record is from RNAcentral.